RNAcentral lists this ribosomal RNA (729 nucleotides) under uncultured bacterium. RNAcentral's name for it is "bacterial SSU rRNA". It matches the Rfam family "Bacterial small subunit ribosomal RNA", at positions 43 to 745 of the family's 1533-position model. The record is from RNAcentral.
UAGGCCUAACACAUGCAAGUCGAACGAGGACCGGGUGCUUGCAUCCGGAGCCGAGUGGCGAACGGGUGAGUAACACGUGACCAAUCUGCCCUUGGGAGAGGGAUAACCUGGGGAAACCCGGGCUAAUACCGCAUGACGUGCGGCCAUCGCAUGGUGGCGGCACCAAAGGGGGGCCUCUACUUGUAAGCUCUCGCCCAGGGAGGAGGUCGCGGCGUAUCAGCUGGUUGGUGGGGUAACGGCCCACCAAGGCGACGACGCGUAGCGGGUCUGAGAGGACGAUCCGUCACAUUGGGACUGAGAUACGGCCCAGACUCCUACGGGAGGCAGCAGUGGGGAAUAUUGCGCAAUGGUCGAAAGACUGACGCAGCGACGCCGCGUGUGGGAGGAAGCCUUUCGGGGUGUAAACCACUGUCAGGUGGGAAGAAACACGCAUGUCCAAACAGGGCGUGCGCUUGACGGUACCACCAGAGGAAGCGCCGGCUAACUCCGUGCCAGCAGCCGCGGUAAGACGGAGGGCGCAAGCGUUGUUCGGAAUUACUGGGCGUAAAGCGCGGGCAGGUGGUCCGUUAAGUCUUCUGUGAAACUUCGGGGCUCAACCCCGGACAUGCAGGAGAUACUGGCGGACUAGAGACCGGUAGAGGCCAGUGGAAUUCCUGGUGUAGCGGUGGAAUGUGUAGAUAUCAGGAAGAACACCGGUGGCGAAGGCGGCUGGCUGGGCCGCGUCUGACA